GCGUCGUUAGCUCAAUUGGUAGAGCAACGGUCUCCAAAACCGUAGGUUGAAGGUUCGAGUCCUUCACGGCGUG
Molecule: transfer RNA, 73 nt
Filed under: Candidatus Melainabacteria bacterium HGW-Melainabacteria-1
Lineage: Bacteria; Bacillati; Candidatus Melainabacteria
Description: tRNA-Trp
Rfam family: tRNA
About the family: Transfer RNA (tRNA) molecules are approximately 80 nucleotides in length. Their secondary structure includes four short double-helical elements and three loops (D, anti-codon, and T loops).
Source: RNAcentral